GUGUCAGCAGCCGCGGUAAGACAGAGGGUGCGAACGUUGUUCGGAAUUACUGGGCGUAAAGCGCAUGUAGGCGGCAGCGCAAGUCGGGCGUGAAAUCCCACGGCUCAACCGUGGAAGUGCACUCGAAACUGCGCAGCUAGAGUCCUGGAGAGGAAGGUGGAAUGCUUGGUGUAGAGGUGAAAUUCGUAGAUAUCAAGCGGAACACCGGUGGCGAAGGCGGCCUUCUGGACAGUGACUGACGCUGAGAUGCGAAAGCGUGGGGAGCAAACAGGAUUAGAUACCCCCGUAGUCC
This 292-nucleotide ribosomal RNA is filed under the name uncultured bacterium. RNAcentral's name for it is "partial 16S ribosomal RNA". It matches the Rfam family "Bacterial small subunit ribosomal RNA", at positions 505 to 796 of the family's 1533-position model. The record is from RNAcentral.